UAGAGCACCACUCAAGUCAAUCAAUAAUGCUUUGGUGUUUUUGAGAGAAAAGGAUGGAAAAGAAAAGAAAACAAAAGAAACUAAAAGAAAAGACAAGGACAGAGAGACAUUCAAAUUUAUCAGUUGAGAUUUCUUUUUGUUGUUCAGUUCAUUUCACAGCAUUUCUGUAGGAGAAGAUUUCUUUCCUUAGUUUCCUAUAUAUCUGUAGGAGAUUAAAGAGGAUUUUUCUUUGCAUAAUUGCAUAUAUAUAUAUAUAUAUAGAUUACAGAAAGAGAAAGAAGAAGAUUUUUGGAGACAGAGAGAGAGAGA
This 309-nucleotide unclassified non-coding RNA is filed under the name Hevea brasiliensis (rubber tree). The record is from RNAcentral. Lineage: Eukaryota; Viridiplantae; Streptophyta; Magnoliopsida; Malpighiales; Euphorbiaceae.